Marmota flaviventris (yellow-bellied marmot) is the source of this 642-nucleotide long non-coding RNA. RefSeq lists it as uncharacterized. The record is from RefSeq and is a predicted model, not a curated record. Lineage: Eukaryota; Metazoa; Chordata; Mammalia; Rodentia; Sciuridae.
UCUGGGUGACAGUCUGCAUCCCAUCCUCAAACGUGCCUUCUUUGAUCAAACUUAUGGUUGUUCAUGGGAUGCGGGAACAAGAAGUGUCUACUUCUCCAUUGUCUAAUGAUUGAUGAGGCACCUGCUCUGUGCGUGGUUCAGUGUCAGAGGCUGGAGAUGGAGACAUGAAGGAUGCUCCUGAUCAGGGUUCUGGAAGCUGAAAGUCUGAGUUAAAGGUGCUGCCAGAUUCUGUAUUACAGGGGCAAAGGGAAAGCUCCUCCUUCAGCCUCUGUAGAUCCUCUGGGAUGGACUGACUAUUGGCGGAUUCAUAGGAUAAGAAGACACUUCCUCAGCCUGCACUCCUCCACACUUGGAAACCACCCCAGAGGAAUAAUGAGAGCAAAGACCCAGGAUUUGGCAAAUGUACAGAAUGCCAGGAGAAUCAUGGAUUUGUCUGACUCCUGAGACUUGGCCUCAUCCGGUGGAAAACUGGGGAAAUUCCCUGCUGGCUCCUCCCUUCCCUCCCUCCCAGCCCUCUCACCAAGCACCACCAAACAGACACACCUCCAGAAGAAGGUUAAGUAAGGCCAGUCUCUGGAUUCCUCUGAAACAAAGUGUUACUUAAAUAUACAGAUUCAGAAAUAAAGUUUAAAUGAGGUAACA